AUUGAACGCUGGCGGAAUGCUUUACACAUGCAAGUCGAACGGCAGCAUAGGUGCUUGCACCUGAUGGCGAGUGGCGAACGGGUGAGUAAUACAUCGGAACGUGCCCAGUCGUGGGGGAUAACGUAGCGAAAGUUACGCUAAUACCGCAUACGAUCUACGGAUGAAAGCGGGGGACCGUAAGGCCUCGCGCGGUUGGAGCGGCCGAUGUCGGAUUAGGUAGUUGGUGGGGUAAAGGCCCACCAAGCCAACGAUCUGUAGCUGGUCUGAGAGGACGACCAGCCACACUGGGACUGAGACACGGCCCAGACUCCUACGGGAGGCAGCAGUGGGGAAUUUUGGACAAUGGGCGCAAGCCUGAUCCGGCCAUUCCGCGUGCAGGAUGAAGGCCUUCGGGUUGUAAACUGCUUUUGUACGGAACGAAAAGCUCUGGGUUAAUACCCCGGGGUCAUGACGGUACCGUAAGAAUAAGCACCGGCUAACUACGUGCCAGCCGCCGCCGUAA
This 502-nucleotide ribosomal RNA is filed under the name uncultured bacterium. RNAcentral's name for it is "partial 16S ribosomal RNA". It matches the Rfam family "Bacterial small subunit ribosomal RNA", at positions 30 to 523 of the family's 1533-position model. The record is from RNAcentral.